UUCAAAGCGAUGAUCUGGAGCAGUAGCGUGAAGCUGGAGCCGACAGAGAGCUAUCCCUUGGCUGGAAGGAUGGCGGCUGCAAUUACGUGAACGACACCAGAGAGCGCCGCCUGAACGCUGAUGCCAGUAGGAGCGGACGGUCUCCCGCCGUUACAGGGGAAGAGUGAUCGCCUUGUGCGAUAAUUAGGGUGGUACCGCGUGAAUCAGACCUCGUCCCUUUU
This 221-nucleotide non-coding RNA is filed under the name Paenibacillus dendritiformis. RNAcentral's name for it is "T-box sequence". It matches the Rfam family "T-box leader". Rfam says of the family: Uncharged tRNA acts as the effector for transcription antitermination of genes in the T-box leader family. T-boxes are found upstream of many aminoacyl-tRNA synthetase genes and some amino acid biosynthetic genes usually in Gram-positive bacteria. Lineage: Bacteria; Bacillati; Bacillota; Bacilli; Caryophanales; Paenibacillaceae. The record is from RNAcentral.